ACGGAAGGCAGCAGUGGGGAAUAUUGGGCAAUGGGCGAAAGCCUGACCCAGCAACGCCGCGUGAAGGAAGAAGGUCUUCGGAUUGUAAACUUCUUUUAUGAGGGACGAAGGACGUGACGGUACCUCAUGAAUAAGCCACGGCUGACUACGUGCCAGCAGCCGCGGUAAUACGUAGGUGGCAAGCGUUAUCCGGAUUUACUGGGUGUAAAGGGCGCGUAGGCGGGAGAGCAAGUCAGAUGUGAAAUCCAUGGGCUUAACCCAUGAACUGCAUUUGAAACUGUUUUUCUUGAGUGCUGGAGAGGUAGACGGAAUUCCUUGUGUAGCGGUGAAAUGCGUAGAUAUAAGGAAGAACACCAGUGGCGAAGGCGGUCUGCUGGACAGUAACUGACGCUGAGGCGCGAAAGCGUGGGGAGCAAACAGGAUUAGAUACCCUGGUA
The sequence is a ribosomal RNA, 437 nucleotides long. It matches the Rfam family "Bacterial small subunit ribosomal RNA", at positions 341 to 792 of the family's 1533-position model.